UCCGAGUUGACCCCGGCAGUCUCCUGUGAGUCCCCAUCACCCCGCAUGUCAAGCCCUGGUAAGGUUCUUCGCGUUGCGUCGAAUUAAGCCACAUGCUCCGCCGCUUGUGCGGGCCCCCGUCAAUUCCUUUGAGUUUUAGCCUUGCGGCCGUACUCCCCAGGCGGGGUGCUUAAUGCGUUAGCUUCGGCACGGAAGGGGUCGAUAUCCCCCCACACCUAGCACCCAUCGUUUACGGCUGGGACUAC
RNAcentral lists this unclassified non-coding RNA (245 nucleotides) under uncultured Actinomycetes bacterium. Its description in RNAcentral is "uncultured actinobacterium contains 16S-23S intergenic spacer region". The record is from RNAcentral. Lineage: Bacteria; Bacillati; Actinomycetota; Actinomycetes.